RNAcentral lists this ribosomal RNA (440 nucleotides) under uncultured bacterium. RNAcentral's name for it is "partial 16S ribosomal RNA". It matches the Rfam family "Bacterial small subunit ribosomal RNA", at positions 338 to 795 of the family's 1533-position model. The record is from RNAcentral.
CCUACUGGAGGCAGCAGUGGGGGAUAUUUCACACUGGGGGGAACCCUGAUGCAGCGCCGCCGCGUGAGCGCAGAAGUACCUCGGUAUGUAAAGCUCUAUCAGCAGGGAAUAAAAUGCCGGUACCUGACUAAGAAGCCACGGCUAAAUACGUGCCAGCAGCCGCGGUAAUACGUCUGGGGCAAGCGUUAUACGGAUUUACUGUGUGUAAAGGGAGCGCAGGCGGCCUGCCAAGUCUGGUGUGACAACCCGGGGCCCAACCCCGGGCCUGCAUUGGAAACUGGCGGGCUGGAGUGUCGGAGGGGCAGGCGGAAUUACUAGGGUAGCGGUGAAAUGCGUAGAUAUUAGGAGGAACACCGGUGGCGAAGGCGGCCUGCUGGACGAUGACUGACGCGGAGGCUCGAAAGCGUGGGGAGCAAACAGGAUUAGAUACCCCUGUAGUC